AUCCUUUGGCGUACAGGUAUAACGUGCGGUACGCUAAGUACCGAUCAGCGACGCGCCAUCGUGAGUUUUACCGAAAUGAGCUUGAUGGUCUCCAACACGAACAGUUCAAGUGGAGACCCUAUACA
This is a long non-coding RNA of Asparagus officinalis (garden asparagus), 125 nucleotides long. RefSeq lists it as uncharacterized. NCBI's taxonomy places the organism in Eukaryota, Viridiplantae, Streptophyta, Magnoliopsida, Asparagales, Asparagaceae. The transcript has 3 exons. The record is from RefSeq and is a predicted model, not a curated record.